Molecule: long non-coding RNA, 1405 nt
Organism: Gallus gallus (chicken)
Lineage: Eukaryota; Metazoa; Chordata; Aves; Galliformes; Phasianidae
Source: Ensembl
GCCUCUCCGCCCCGCCGCCAUGUGGGAGCUUCGGCCGCUCCUCCUCGGCCUCGAGGUCGGCGGCUGCGGAGCGCCUCGGUUCCGAAGCGCGGUCUGAAAGGGCUCCCCAGGCGGCGGCUGUGCCGUUAUAGGAAGAAAGUGAGCAUGGAGUGUGUUAUCCCGAGCACCACUGCGAUGCUGGGCUGAGGAGUUCGUGAGGCUUCGUUCUUCCAGAGGACCGUUAGUGAACUGAUUACUGAAAAUGAAGUAAAUGGAGCUACAUUUACUGAAGACUCAAGUGAAACUCCAUGGAAAUUCUCCAAGGAUCGUUACUUUGUCAUGCUCAUUAGAACUUGAGAUGAAACCUAUUGAGGUGCCUUAACAUCAUCUCCGAACACCAGGUGCUUUGGCAUUUCAGAUGUCACAUGGGUCAGGACAAAAUAGCAUUUCUAAUUGUCAGCUACAGAAUUGGACACAAAACUGUGAGAGGAGGAGGGAAAUCCCCGUAGAGAGAAUUCAAGGUUAUCACUCUGCUUCUGACAGAAUUGAAAAGCUAACUGACUGACAUGAAAGACCCAGCUUCUUCUACAGUAAUGUUCUGUAAUGGAAAGGCACUGAAGUCGUUCUGCCUUUUGUCCCAGAUCUCUCAUCUCUCAUGUAUUCUUUUCUUUCUCUGUCACAAGGUGGGUACGUUACGUUCUGUUCUGUGAAUUCUAGCUCUGAAUCCAAGUGUGUAUCUCAGGUGUGAUGACUUCAAAAAUAUGUUUAGCAUACAUAAUUGUGUGUGCUGCAUCUGAUACACACAUGCUGUAAUGUAACGGACUAAUAUAGACAUGUUUGUUGUUUAUGUACCCGUACCACGGAAAGAGAAAAAGAUGUUCUCAUGCCAUCAUAGCAGUGAGGCACCUGGUGGAAGGACACAGUUUCUCUGCCAGCAACAGGGAAACUAUUCACCUGCUGCUGGGCUUUCAAGUUAGCAGUCUAACUGGAUUUGGAGGGGCUAGCAUGAGUUCAUUGUCCGUAGGAACCCACCAAAGCAGGCCCAGGAGUGGCCUAUAAAAUUAUCCAUAUGGCAGCUGUUGGAGAUGUAACAGGAGGUAACUUCUGCUCCUGUACAAAGCACCGUGACACCUGCGACAAAGUUGAUAACAUGUGCCAUAGGUCUGUGCAGCAGGCUGCGGUCCCUGCUGGAGCUGGUGCUGAUGGGCUAGGUGAGAGGAGGUGCUUCUCGCUCAGUGCUGACAGAAGCACAAUGUUUGGUUUUCUCAUAGUUACAUAUUAUUUCACAAAAUCAAAUUGAAAUAGGCUGUCAGCUUUGAGAGGAACCUUAAACAACAAAUACGCAGUUCUGAAUACGUGGAAGUAUUCAGUGUUUGUCUGUAUGUGGGCUUUAAGAUAUAUUAAUAUAUAUUCUGCAUAUCCCUAG